UACAGAGGCCCCAAGCGUUGUUCGGAAUUACUGGGCGUAAAGAGAAUGUAGGUGGAAGCGCAAGUCAGAUGUGAAAGCCCUGGGCUCAACCCAGGAAGUGCAUUUGAAACUGCGUUUCUCGAGUGCGAUAGAGGAGUGUGGAAUUCCUGGUGUAGGGGUGAAAUCCGUAGAUAUCAGGAGGAAUACCAAUUGCGAAGGCAAUACUCUGGAUCGUAACUGACACUGAGAUUCGAAAGCGUGGGGAUCAAACAGG
This 253-nucleotide unclassified non-coding RNA is filed under the name uncultured Pseudobdellovibrionaceae bacterium. RNAcentral's name for it is "uncultured Bdellovibrionaceae bacterium contains 16S-23S intergenic spacer region". It matches the Rfam family "Bacterial small subunit ribosomal RNA", at positions 524 to 776 of the family's 1533-position model. The record is from RNAcentral. Lineage: Bacteria; Pseudomonadati; Bdellovibrionota; Bdellovibrionia; Bdellovibrionales; Pseudobdellovibrionaceae.